UUUUGAAUGGAUGUUGUGGUUA
This 22-nucleotide non-coding RNA is filed under the name Arabidopsis thaliana (thale cress). The record is from RNAcentral. Lineage: Eukaryota; Viridiplantae; Streptophyta; Magnoliopsida; Brassicales; Brassicaceae.